This 2929-nucleotide ribosomal RNA is filed under the name Escherichia coli. RNAcentral describes it as "23S ribosomal RNA". It matches the Rfam family "Bacterial large subunit ribosomal RNA". The record is from RNAcentral. Lineage: Bacteria; Pseudomonadati; Pseudomonadota; Gammaproteobacteria; Enterobacterales; Enterobacteriaceae.
GGGUUGUGAGGUUAAGCGACUAAGCGUACACGGUGGAUGCCCUGGCAGUCAGAGGCGAUGAAGGACGUGCUAAUCUGCGAUAAGCGUCGGUAAGGUGAUAUGAACCGUUAUAACCGGCGAUUUCCGAAUGGGGAAACCCAGUGUGAUUCGUCACACUAUCAUUAACUGAAUCCAUAGGUUAAUGAGGCGAACCGGGGGAACUGAAACAUCUAAGUACCCCGAGGAAAAGAAAUCAACCGAGAUUCCCCCAGUAGCGGCGAGCGAACGGGGAGGAGCCCAGAGCCUGAAUCAGUGUGUGUGUUAGUGGAAGCGUCUGGAAAGGCGCGCGAUACAGGGUGACAGCCCCGUACACAAAAAUGCACAUGCUGUGAGCUCGAUGAGUAGGGCGGGACACGUGGUAUCCUGUCUGAAUAUGGGGGGACCAUCCUCCAAGGCUAAAUACUCCUGACUGACCGAUAGUGAACCAGUACCGUGAGGGAAAGGCGAAAAGAACCCCGGCGAGGGGAGUGAAAAAGAACCUGAAACCGUGUACGUACAAGCAGUGGGAGCACGCUUAGGCGUGUGACUGCGUACCUUUUGUAUAAUGGGUCAGCGACUUAUAUUCUGUAGCAAGGUUAACCGAAUAGGGGAGCCGAAGGGAAACCGAGUCUUAACUGGGCGUUAAGUUGCAGGGUAUAGACCCGAAACCCGGUGAUCUAGCCAUGGGCAGGUUGAAGGUUGGGUAACACUAACUGGAGGACCGAACCGACUAAUGUUGAAAAAUUAGCGGAUGACUUGUGGCUGGGGGUGAAAGGCCAAUCAAACCGGGAGAUAGCUGGUUCUCCCCGAAAGCUAUUUAGGUAGCGCCUCGUGAAUUCAUCUCCGGGGGUAGAGCACUGUUUCGGCAAGGGGGUCAUCCCGACUUACCAACCCGAUGCAAACUGCGAAUACCGGAGAAUGUUAUCACGGGAGACACACGGCGGGUGCUAACGUCCGUCGUGAAGAGGGAAACAACCCAGACCGCCAGCUAAGGUCCCAAAGUCAUGGUUAAGUGGGAAACGAUGUGGGAAGGCCCAGACAGCCAGGAUGUUGGCUUAGAAGCAGCCAUCAUUUAAAGAAAGCGUAAUAGCUCACUGGUCGAGUCGGCCUGCGCGGAAGAUGUAACGGGGCUAAACCAUGCACCGAAGCUGCGGCAGCGACACUGUGUGUUGUUGGGUAGGGGAGCGUUCUGUAAGCCUGUGAAGGUGUGCUGUGAGGCAUGCUGGAGGUAUCAGAAGUGCGAAUGCUGACAUAAGUAACGAUAAAGCGGGUGAAAAGCCCGCUCGCCGGAAGACCAAGGGUUCCUGUCCAACGUUAAUCGGGGCAGGGUGAGUCGACCCCUAAGGCGAGGCCGAAAGGCGUAGUCGAUGGGAAACAGGUUAAUAUUCCUGUACUUGGUGUUACUGCGAAGGGGGGACGGAGAAGGCUAUGUUGGCCGGGCGACGGUUGUCCCGGUUUAAGCGUGUAGGCUGGUUUUCCAGGCAAAUCCGGAAAAUCAAGGCUGAGGCGUGAUGACGAGGCACUACGGUGCUGAAGCAACAAAUGCCCUGCUUCCAGGAAAAGCCUCUAAGCAUCAGGUAACAUCAAAUCGUACCCCAAACCGACACAGGUGGUCAGGUAGAGAAUACCAAGGCGCUUGAGAGAACUCGGGUGAAGGAACUAGGCAAAAUGGUGCCGUAACUUCGGGAGAAGGCACGCUGAUAUGUAGGUGAAGUCCCUCGCGGAUGGAGCUGAAAUCAGUCGAAGAUACCAGCUGGCUGCAACUGUUUAUUAAAAACACAGCACUGUGCAAACACGAAAGUGGACGUAUACGGUGUGACGCCUGCCCGGUGCCGGAAGGUUAAUUGAUGGGGUUAGCGCAAGCGAAGCUCUUGAUCGAAGCCCCGGUAAACGGCGGCCGUAACUAUAACGGUCCUAAGGUAGCGAAAUUCCUUGUCGGGUAAGUUCCGACCUGCACGAAUGGCGUAAUGAUGGCCAGGCUGUCUCCACCCGAGACUCAGUGAAAUUGAACUCGCUGUGAAGAUGCAGUGUACCCGCGGCAAGACGGAAAGACCCCGUGAACCUUUACUAUAGCUUGACACUGAACAUUGAGCCUUGAUGUGUAGGAUAGGUGGGAGGCUUUGAAGUGUGGACGCCAGUCUGCAUGGAGCCGACCUUGAAAUACCACCCUUUAAUGUUUGAUGUUCUAACGUUGACCCGUAAUCCGGGUUGCGGACAGUGUCUGGUGGGUAGUUUGACUGGGGCGGUCUCCUCCUAAAGAGUAACGGAGGAGCACGAAGGUUGGCUAAUCCUGGUCGGACAUCAGGAGGUUAGUGCAAUGGCAUAAGCCAGCUUGACUGCGAGCGUGACGGCGCGAGCAGGUGCGAAAGCAGGUCAUAGUGAUCCGGUGGUUCUGAAUGGAAGGGCCAUCGCUCAACGGAUAAAAGGUACUCCGGGGAUAACAGGCUGAUACCGCCCAAGAGUUCAUAUCGACGGCGGUGUUUGGCACCUCGAUGUCGGCUCAUCACAUCCUGGGGCUGAAGUAGGUCCCAAGGGUAUGGCUGUUCGCCAUUUAAAGUGGUACGCGAGCUGGGUUUAGAACGUCGUGAGACAGUUCGGUCCCUAUCUGCCGUGGGCGCUGGAGAACUGAGGGGGGCUGCUCCUAGUACGAGAGGACCGGAGUGGACGCAUCACUGGUGUUCGGGUUGUCAUGCCAAUGGCACUGCCCGGUAGCUAAAUGCGGAAGAGAUAAGUGCUGAAAGCAUCUAAGCACGAAACUUGCCCCGAGAUGAGUUCUCCCUGACUCCUUGAGAGUCCUGAAGGAACGUUGAAGACGACGACGUUGAUAGGCCGGGUGUGUAAGCGCAGCGAUGCGUUGAGCUAACCGGUACUAAUGAACCGUGAGGCUUAACCUUACAACGCCGAAGCUGUU